UUUUAUUACAGUUCUUUAGCCACUGGGGAUAGAAAAAUAAUUUAGCUACCAGUUCACUAUUUUUCAUUGUCAUCCCAUUACCCACAAGUUCUGUUUUCCAUGUAUCUCUUUUUAGGAGCUCCUGAACCAACAAACCUGGAAGGUGCAGCUGUUUGAGCCCUCAGUGGUGAGAGGAAUUUCUGGAUUUUCCAGAAGGAUUGGAAGGGAGGACAUGGGUUCCAGGCUGAGAAGUUGAAAAACCUUUUAGAUGAGACCUCCAGGAACUCAGUCAGUGUAGUAUGAGCUCACCUUUAAUGUCAGGCGAUGUUCUGAUGUUAAAUCUCCAGAAUUUUGCACAAGGAGGAGCAUCCACUGCUGGGGCAGGACAGCUCUCACCCCCCUGCUCUGAGGGCAUCCUGAGAGCUGCCAAAAUCCACCUGGAUGGACAAAGGAUGCUGCACAGCUCUUAAACCCUGCUGGGGAAAACCCAGGAGCAGCAAAUUCCAGAGGGAUUUGUGUGGGAGGAAAUCCUGUGGCCCUGUUUGCCCUGCACAGCCAAAGAUCAUCUGCCUUGUUUUCCACCCGGAGCCGUCUGCAGAGGGGAUCUGAGCCAGCACAACUCCUUGCUAUGGAGACUUGCUCCUCGGUGACGUGAGCGGAGAGUUUUGCAUGAAAAUCAAAAGAACAAUCUCUGAGGAGUCUCUCCUCUGCUCUCAGACUGUCCUGAGAGCACAGCAUGGCCUGAAAUGAAAAAUCACACAUCUCCUUCUCUCUACAGCUGGAAAGGUUUAAUAAUUAAACCAAUUCUUUUGCUGUAACAAUAUGAAAUUAAAGGGUUGGGUUUUUUUUUGCUUACAAAUAAUAGACAGAGGCAAUCUGAGCUAAUCUGGUGUGUGAGUGUGGGGAAGGAUGUGCUGCAGAGCUGCUCUGGGGCAGAUGUUUAAUGACUGACUGAAUAAACCCUGUGUGCCCCAGCUGGAUCUGUCCUGUACAUGCCAUCAUUCUUCACAGGUUUGCUGGGAUUUACUGCCCAUCCCUUGAUGUUUGUGUACCUGAUAGACAAAGACUUCCCAGAAUCCCAGAAGGG
Non-coding RNA from Cyanistes caeruleus (blue tit), 1066 nucleotides. Lineage: Eukaryota; Metazoa; Chordata; Aves; Passeriformes; Paridae. The record is from RefSeq and is a predicted model, not a curated record.